Molecule: ribosomal RNA, 175 nt
Filed under: Kaupichthys diodontus (common false moray)
Lineage: Eukaryota; Metazoa; Chordata; Actinopteri; Anguilliformes; Chlopsidae
Description: partial small subunit ribosomal RNA
Source: RNAcentral
CGCCGCGGUUAUACGUGUAGGCUCAAGAUGACAAACGUCGGCGUAAAGUGUGAUUAGAGGUGAAGAUAAACUAAAGCUGAACUAGCCCUAGACUGUUAUACGUUGAUGGAGCAAAUGAAACCCCCCAACGAAAGUAGCUUUAACCCUAUUGCUCGAACUCACGAACGUUGAGAAA